Molecule: long non-coding RNA, 1014 nt
Organism: Syngnathoides biaculeatus (alligator pipefish)
Lineage: Eukaryota; Metazoa; Chordata; Actinopteri; Syngnathiformes; Syngnathidae
Exons: 3
Source: RefSeq, a predicted model, not a curated record
AGCACCGAACAGCCAAGGUGGCAAACGUAAUAUGGUGACCGCCAACAUGGUGUCUGCAGGGGUUUCCAUUUUACUGUGAUUUUCACUACUUAAAUGAGUAGACAUACUGUUUACUGUAAUUUCCGGCCUAUAAGCCGCAACUUUUUUCCACACGCUUUCAACCCUGCGGCUAUUUUGUGCAUUUUUUUCCAACGCCUGCAAGGGGGGACUCGAGCAGAAAAGAACCUGCUGGCGAUUGAUUGAUUCAGGCAGUAAUGGACGCACUGAGGAUUGCGAUCAGAGAAUGACGUAAAUGAACAGAGCCAUGAUGGCAGCGCUGAUGAGACCUGCGACGGGAACGGCGCGGACAGACGACAAAGCGAACCAGCAACGCUGUGACGACAGCACAUCCUACCGCGAUGCACAGCGUGCCCCACCACGGCAUCCUGUCAAACCCCAACACUAGGAGCAAAUGAGAAAAAAAAAGAGGCACGUUUCCAUCUUCAAUCAUGAAAUCUUUGUAUACCGUAAAGCCUCGGUUCUCGAACAUCCCCGUUUUCUUAGGAAAAAUUCGAGAUUUUUUUGCUUCUGUUUUCGAACGAAAAUCAGUACUCGAACGUCCCCGUAUUGCGCGCGGCCAGACCAGCUGACCCAGACGCACUUUUUUGUGAAUUUCCAUGCCGCUGAAAAAACCCAGAAAUAACAUAACGCGCACGGUGCAACCAGUUGACCCUCCCACGACGCGUGUUGUUAUUGUCUAUUCGAACGGCCCCCGAAAAUACCCGGAAAUAACAUCGUGUGCGGCGCAAGCAGUUGACCCACCCACGACGCGUUUUGUUAUUGUCAAUUCGAACGCCCCCCGAAAAAAAGAAAAGAAAUGGAAAUGACAUAACGGGUGCGGCGCAACCAGCGCACUUUUGUUUUUCUGUAUAACGCAGCCUCUGUACGCAGAUGUGUCCCGGUAGUGACUGUUGUUUUUCUUCUUAUGGAGAACUACCGCAUUAACCCCCAGACAUGGCUCCAAAGAAGGCAAGU